RNAcentral lists this ribosomal RNA (253 nucleotides) under uncultured bacterium. RNAcentral describes it as "partial 16S ribosomal RNA". It matches the Rfam family "Bacterial small subunit ribosomal RNA", at positions 524 to 776 of the family's 1533-position model. The record is from RNAcentral.
UACAGGGGGUGCAAACGUUGCUCGGAAUCAUUGGGCGUAAAGCGCACGUAGGCGGUUCGUUAUGUCGGAUGUGAAAGCCCUUGGCUUAACCGAGGAAGUGCAUCCGAAACUGGCGAGCUAGAGUACGAAAGAGGAUCGCGGAAUUCCCGGUGUAGAGGUGAAAUUCGUAGAUAUCGGGAGGAACACCGGUGGCGAAGGCGGCGAUCUGGGAAGAUACUGACGCUGAGGUGCGAAAGCGUGGGGAGCAAACAGG